Molecule: long non-coding RNA, 709 nt
Organism: Alosa alosa (allis shad)
Lineage: Eukaryota; Metazoa; Chordata; Actinopteri; Clupeiformes; Clupeidae
Exons: 3
Source: RefSeq, a predicted model, not a curated record
CGCGCAAAGUGAAUUUCUGCUCUACUUGGGGGCGGUAACCAGGUUUGGUACUAGCUCUGCUGUGAUUAGCCGUGUUUGAAGAGUAAAAUUUGAUUGACAGCCCUCCUCAGUCGAAGAAGACAACCAGAGACGAAUCUUCGAGACAGACAACAACGGCAUCUGGCAGUGGGCAGAGGUUUCUUCAGGACAUUGAGGAGCCAGACAUCGACUGGGAUGUUGCCAUGGACCACAAUGGUGAGGCAGAAGGAGUGAUGGUGGUUCCUCACAUUGACUGUCCGAGGUAGGAAGAGCCUACUCUACGACUGACGCAUUUUUCGAGUCUCGGAGAUAUCGCAGACGAACCAGGAGUCAGACUGGAGGUGGGCUCCGAUACCCUGGUGGCGGCAACAGAUGGUGCACAGUGGGCCAUGAAAGACAACGCGCUCCCUCCAAUCCAAUAACUGUGUGUGUAUGUGUGUGUGUGUGUGUGGAGGAGGGGGGUGGAGAGAGGUGAUUUCUCGCCCAGACAACACACCACACACAACACACACACAGCACAUAACAGAAGGCUUCUUCCCUCACCGGAGACAAUAUCCUGGAAAACUCAUUUGCCGGGGUGACGAUGUGGAGGCAGACUGGAUCUCAAGGUGAGCCGCAGAAAGGAGGAGGAAGGAGGGCAGAAAGAAGGAGACAGAAGGAAGAAUAGAGAGAGCAAGAGAGAGAGAGAGAG